This 2854-nucleotide ribosomal RNA is filed under the name Escherichia coli. Its description in RNAcentral is "partial 23S ribosomal RNA". It matches the Rfam family "Bacterial large subunit ribosomal RNA". The record is from RNAcentral. Lineage: Bacteria; Pseudomonadati; Pseudomonadota; Gammaproteobacteria; Enterobacterales; Enterobacteriaceae.
CACACUAUCAUUAACUGAAUCCAUAGGUUAAUGAGGCGAACCGGGGGAACUGAAACAUCUAAGUACCCCGAGGAAAAGAAAUCAACCGAGAUUCCCCCAGUAGCGGCGAGCGAACGGGGAGCAGCCCAGAGCCUGAAUCAGUGUGUGUGUUAGUGGAAGCGUCUGGAAAGGCGCGCGAUACAGGGUGACAGCCCCGUACACAAAAAUGCACAUGCUGUGAGCUCGAUGAGUAGGGCGGGACACGUGGUAUCCUGUCUGAAUAUGGGGGGACCAUCCUCCAAGGCUAAAUACUCCUGACUGACCGAUAGUGAACCAGUACCGUGAGGGAAAGGCGAAAAGAACCCCGGCGAGGGGAGUGAAAAAGAACCUGAAACCGUGUACGUACAAGCAGUGGGAGCACGCUUAGGCGUGUGACUGCGUACCUUUUGUAUAAUGGGUCAGCGACUUAUAUUCUGUAGCAAGGUUAACCGAAUAGGGGAGCCGAAGGGAAACCGAGUCUUAACUGGGCGUUAAGUUGCAGGGUAUAGACCCGAAACCCGGUGAUCUAGCCAUGGGCAGGUUGAAGGUUGGGUAACACUAACUGGAGGACCGAACCGACUAAUGUUGAAAAAUUAGCGGAUGACUUGUGGCUGGGGGUGAAAGGCCAAUCAAACCGGGAGAUAGCUGGUUCUCCCCGAAAGCUAUUUAGGUAGCGCCUCGUGAAUUCAUCUCCGGGGGUAGAGCACUGUUUCGGCAAGGGGGUCAUCCCGACUUACCAACCCGAUGCAAACUGCGAAUACCGGAGAAUGUUAUCACGGGAGACACACGGCGGGUGCUAACGUCCGUCGUGAAGAGGGAAACAACCCAGACCGCCAGCUAAGGUCCCAAAGUCAUGGUUAAGUGGGAAACGAUGUGGGAAGGCCCAGACAGCCAGGAUGUUGGCUUAGAAGCAGCCAUCAUUUAAAGAAAGCGUAAUAGCUCACUGGUCGAGUCGGCCUGCGCGGAAGAUGUAACGGGGCUAAACCAUGCACCGAAGCUGCGGCAGCGACGCUUAUGCGUUGUUGGGUAGGGGAGCGUUCUGUAAGCCUGUGAAGGUGUGCUGUGAGGCAUGCUGGAGGUAUCAGAAGUGCGAAUGCUGACAUAAGUAACGAUAAAGCGGGUGAAAAGCCCGCUCGCCGGAAGACCAAGGGUUCCUGUCCAACGUUAAUCGGGGCAGGGUGAGUCGACCCCUAAGGCGAGGCCGAAAGGCGUAGUCGAUGGGAAACAGGUUAAUAUUCCUGUACUUGGUGUUACUGCGAAGGGGGGACGGAGAAGGCUAUGUUGGCCGGGCGACGGUUGUCCCGGUUUAAGCGUGUAGGCUGGUUUUCCAGGCAAAUCCGGAAAAUCAAGGCUGAGGCGUGAUGACGAGGCACUACGGUGCUGAAGCAACAAAUGCCCUGCUUCCAGGAAAAGCCUCUAAGCAUCAGGUAACAUCAAAUCGUACCCCAAACCGACACAGGUGGUCAGGUAGAGAAUACCAAGGCGCUUGAGAGAACUCGGGUGAAGGAACUAGGCAAAAUGGUGCCGUAACUUCGGGAGAAGGCACGCUGAUAUGUAGGUGAAGUCCCUUGCGGAUGGAGCUGAAAUCAGUCGAAGAUACCAGCUGGCUGCAACUGUUUAUUAAAAACACAGCACUGUGCAAACACGAAAGUGGACGUAUACGGUGUGACGCCUGCCCGGUGCCGGAAGGUUAAUUGAUGGGGUUANNNNNNNNNNNNNNNNNNNNNNNNNNNNNNNNNNNNNNNNNNNNNNNNNNNNNNNNNNNNNNNNNNNNNNNNNNNNNNNNNNNNNNNNNNNNNNNNNCGCGAAGCUCUUGAUCGAAGCCCCGGUAAACGGCGGCCGUAACUAUAACGGUCCUAAGGUAGCGAAAUUCCUUGUCGGGUAAGUUCCGACCUGCACGAAUGGCGUAAUGAUGGCCAGGCUGUCUCCACCCGAGACUCAGUGAAAUUGAACUCGCUGUGAAGAUGCAGUGUACCCGCGGCAAGACGGAAAGACCCCGUGAACCUUUACUAUAGCUUGACACUGAACAUUGAGCCUUGAUGUGUAGGAUAGGUGGGAGGCUUUGAAGUGUGGACGCCAGUCUGCAUGGAGCCGACCUUGAAAUACCACCCUUUAAUGUUUGAUGUUCUAACGUUGACCCGUAAUCCGGGUUGCGGACAGUGUCUGGUGGGUAGUUUGACUGGGGCGGUCUCCUCCUAAAGAGUAACGGAGGAGCACGAAGGUUGGCUAAUCCUGGUCGGACAUCAGGAGGUUAGUGCAAUGGCAUAAGCCAGCUUGACUGCGAGCGUGACGGCGCGAGCAGGUGCGAAAGCAGGUCAUAGUGAUCCGGUGGUUCUGAAUGGAAGGGCCAUCGCUCAACGGAUAAAAGGUACUCCGGGGAUAACAGGCUGAUACCGCCCAAGAGUUCAUAUCGACGGCGGUGUUUGGCACCUCGAUGUCGGCUCAUCACAUCCUGGGGCUGAAGUAGGUCCCAAGGGUAUGGCUGUUCGCCAUUUAAAGUGGUACGCGAGCUGGGUUUAGAACGUCGUGAGACAGUUCGGUCCCUAUCUGCCGUGGGCGCUGGAGAACUGAGGGGGGCUGCUCCUAGUACGAGAGGACCGGAGUGGACGCAUCACUGGUGUUCGGGUUGUCAUGCCAAUGGCACUGCCCGGUAGCUAAAUGCGGAAGAGAUAAGUGCUGAAAGCAUCUAAGCACGAAACUUGCCCCGAGAUGAGUUCUCCCUGACUCCUUGAGAGUCCUGAAGGAACGUUGAAGACGACGACGUUGAUAGGCCGGGUGUGUAAGCGCAGCGAUGCGUUGAGCUAACCGGUACUAAUGAACCGUGAGGCUUAACCUU